Long non-coding RNA from Homo sapiens (human), 2052 nucleotides. Ensembl annotates it as H19 imprinted maternally expressed transcript. Its record names the gene H19. Lineage: Eukaryota; Metazoa; Chordata; Mammalia; Primates; Hominidae. The record is from Ensembl.
CUGCCAAGCAGAGCGCACAGUGUUCCUGGAGUCUCGCUGCCCAGAUGCCACGGAAUCAGUUGAAGGACGUGGCAGCUGGUUGGACGAGGGGAGCUGGUGGGCAGGGUUUGAUCCCAGGGCCUGGGCAACGGAGGUGUAGCUGGCAGCAGCGGGCAGGUGAGGACCCCAUCUGCCGGGCAGGUGAGUCCCUUCCCUCCCCAGGCCUCGCUUCCCCAGCCUUCUGAAAGAAGGAGGUUUAGGGGAUCGAGGGCUGGCGGGGAGAAGCAGACACCCUCCCAGCAGAGGGGCAGGAUGGGGGCAGGAGAGUUAGCAAAGGUGACAUCUUCUCGGGGGGAGCCGAGACUGCGCAAGGCUGGGGGGUUAUGGGCCCGUUCCAGGCAGAAAGAGCAAGAGGGCAGGGAGGGAGCACAGGGGUGGCCAGCGUAGGGUCCAGCACGUGGGGUGGUACCCCAGGCCUGGGUCAGACAGGGACAUGGCAGGGGACACAGGACAGAGGGGUCCCCAGCUGCCACCUCACCCACCGCAAUUCAUUUAGUAGCAGGCACAGGGGCAGCUCCGGCACGGCUUUCUCAGGCCUAUGCCGGAGCCUCGAGGGCUGGAGAGCGGGAAGACAGGCAGUGCUCGGGGAGUUGCAGCAGGACGUCACCAGGAGGGCGAAGCGGCCACGGGAGGGGGGCCCCGGGACAUUGCGCAGCAAGGAGGCUGCAGGGGCUCGGCCUGCGGGCGCCGGUCCCACGAGGCACUGCGGCCCAGGGUCUGGUGCGGAGAGGGCCCACAGUGGACUUGGUGACGCUGUAUGCCCUCACCGCUCAGCCCCUGGGGCUGGCUUGGCAGACAGUACAGCAUCCAGGGGAGUCAAGGGCAUGGGGCGAGACCAGACUAGGCGAGGCGGGCGGGGCGGAGUGAAUGAGCUCUCAGGAGGGAGGAUGGUGCAGGCAGGGGUGAGGAGCGCAGCGGGCGGCGAGCGGGAGGCACUGGCCUCCAGAGCCCGUGGCCAAGGCGGGCCUCGCGGGCGGCGACGGAGCCGGGAUCGGUGCCUCAGCGUUCGGGCUGGAGACGAGGCCAGGUCUCCAGCUGGGGUGGACGUGCCCACCAGCUGCCGAAGGCCAAGACGCCAGGUCCGGUGGACGUGACAAGCAGGACAUGACAUGGUCCGGUGUGACGGCGAGGACAGAGGAGGCGCGUCCGGCCUUCCUGAACACCUUAGGCUGGUGGGGCUGCGGCAAGAAGCGGGUCUGUUUCUUUACUUCCUCCACGGAGUCGGCACACUAUGGCUGCCCUCUGGGCUCCCAGAACCCACAACAUGAAAGAAAUGGUGCUACCCAGCUCAAGCCUGGGCCUUUGAAUCCGGACACAAAACCCUCUAGCUUGGAAAUGAAUAUGCUGCACUUUACAACCACUGCACUACCUGACUCAGGAAUCGGCUCUGGAAGGUGAAGCUAGAGGAACCAGACCUCAUCAGCCCAACAUCAAAGACACCAUCGGAACAGCAGCGCCCGCAGCACCCACCCCGCACCGGCGACUCCAUCUUCAUGGCCACCCCCUGCGGCGGACGGUUGACCACCAGCCACCACAUCAUCCCAGAGCUGAGCUCCUCCAGCGGGAUGACGCCGUCCCCACCACCUCCCUCUUCUUCUUUUUCAUCCUUCUGUCUCUUUGUUUCUGAGCUUUCCUGUCUUUCCUUUUUUCUGAGAGAUUCAAAGCCUCCACGACUCUGUUUCCCCCGUCCCUUCUGAAUUUAAUUUGCACUAAGUCAUUUGCACUGGUUGGAGUUGUGGAGACGGCCUUGAGUCUCAGUACGAGUGUGCGUGAGUGUGAGCCACCUUGGCAAGUGCCUGUGCAGGGCCCGGCCGCCCUCCAUCUGGGCCGGGUGACUGGGCGCCGGCUGUGUGCCCGAGGCCUCACCCUGCCCUCGCCUAGUCUGGAAGCUCCGACCGACAUCACGGAGCAGCCUUCAAGCAUUCCAUUACGCCCCAUCUCGCUCUGUGCCCCUCCCCACCAGGGCUUCAGCAGGAGCCCUGGACUCAUCAUCAAUAAACACUGUUACAGCAA